GGGUACAUGGUCUAGUGGUAUGAUUUUCGCUUCGCAUCUUGGUCACAAGUGCGAAACUUGUGAAAGGUCCUGGGUUCAAUUCCCAGUGUAUCCA
Molecule: non-coding RNA, 94 nt
Organism: Podospora pseudocomata
Lineage: Eukaryota; Fungi; Ascomycota; Sordariomycetes; Sordariales; Podosporaceae
Source: the annotation of a RefSeq genome assembly